AUUACAGAAAUGCUGUCUUAUUUUAAACUUUGUUUUGCAUAUUUAACUUUGUUCUUUCAUUUUUUCAGUAUCGCUUCUUGUUUUUCAGAAAUUGCUCAAAGACUUAGAUGCUACUGGGAGAAGUUCGUGUGCACAUUUUUUUGCGUUGAUUUGAGCAUCUGUGAUACACAAUACAGAUGGCUUAACUUUUAAGAGAUUGGAUAUGUAUCAUAUGUUGAAUAUACUGUUUGUUCUUCACCCUUUGCCACAAAAAGAUACGUUUGAGCUUCAAGUCUCUGAGGAAACCGUUGAGAAUGGCUGAAGAUAAUUGGCAUACUGGGGAGAAGUGCCUUGCCCCUUGUCUUGAAGAUGGGAAACUUCAUGAAGGAACAAUAUCUUCUAUUGAGAAGGACAAGAAUGGAAAAUCAUUUGCUGUUGUAUCAUUCUCAGAGUCUGAAGAAAGGAAAAUAUUAAUAACUAAACUUUGUAGAGUCAAAGACAGAAGAGGGCCCUGGAAAAGCUUAAUAUUUGAUGAUCGUGAUCUGGAAAAGCCAUAUUUUCCUGACCAGAAUUUUCCAUCUCCUGCAGUUGCUUUUAAAUUAUCUGACAAUGGUGAUUUUAUUCCAUAUACAAUUAACAGAUACCUACGUGAUUAUCAAAGGGAAGGAGUCCAAUUUCUGUAUGGACAUUAUGCUAAUAAAAGGGGGUGUAUUCUUGGAGAUGAUAUGGGCCUUGGAAAGACAAUACAGGUCAUUUCGUUUUUGGCUGCAGUGUUGCACAAAAAGGGAACACGUGAGGAUAUUGAAAAUAAUAUGCCAGAUUUUUUACUGAGGACAAUGAAAAAAGAACCCAAGUGUAACCCCAAGAAGACUUUCCUCAUAGUGGCCCCUCUUUCAGUGCUUUACAACUGGAAGGAUGAGUUAGACGCAUGGGGGUACUUUAAGGUCUGUGUCUUACAUGGCAGUAAAAAAGAUGAUGACUUCAGUCGCAUCAAGCAAGGGAAAUGUGAAGUUGCCCUUACAACGUAUGAGGUGCUUCGCCUGUAUUUGGAUGAAUUUAACAGCGUAGAAUGGUCUGCUGUAAUAGUGGAUGAAGCACAUAGAAUCAAGAAUCCAAAGGCUCAAAUAGCUCAAACCAUGAAGUCAUUAAAAUGCAGCGUUCGCAUUGGUCUUACUGGAACCAUUCUUCAGAACAAUAUGAAGGAACUUUGGUGUGUUAUGGACUGGGCUGUACCAGGACUUUUGGGUAGCAGAGUACACUUCAAGAAGAAGUUUUCUGAUCCAGUGGAGCAUGGCCAGAGGCACACUGCAAGUAAAAGAGAGCUAGCAACAGGUCGUAAGGCCAUGGUGGAGCUAGCAAGAAAAAUGUCUGGCUGGUUUCUGAGAAGAAGCAAAGCACUUAUCAGUGAUCAGUUGCCAAAAAAGGAGGACAGAAUGGUGUACUGUUCUCUCACUGAAUUCCAGAAAGCAGUGUACCAGGCUGUGCUAGAGACAGAGGAUGUGAGCUUAGUAUUACGAGCAGGAGAGCCCUGCAGCUGCAACAGUGGUCGUAAAAGAAAGAACUGUUGUUACAAAGAAAACGCUUAUGGUGAAACAAUUAAGUCGCUGCGCUUCAGUUACCUGACAAUUCUACAGAAGGUUGCAAAUCAUGCUGCACUGCUGCAGACAGACAACACUAGCAAGCAGCAGGAAGCACAUAUCAAACGGGUGUGCAGCCAAGUAUUUUCCAGUUUUCCAGAUUUUGUGCAGUUAAGCAAAGAUGCAGCCUUUGAAACCAUUUCAGAUCCAAAGUACAGUGGAAAAAUGAAGGUCCUUCAGCAGCUUUUAAAUCACUUCCGAAGGAACAAGGAUAAAGUUCUUCUUUUCUCCUUUUCCACAAAGUUGCUAGAUGUGCUGGAACAAUACUGUAUGGCAUCUGGGCUAGAUUACCGAAGACUUGAUGGAAAUACAAAAUCAGAAGAUAGAAUGAGAAUUGUAAGAGAGUUCAACAGUAUUCAAGAAAUUAACAUAUGUCUUGUAUCAACAAUGGCUGGUGGACUGGGUCUUAAUUUUGUUGGUGCCAAUGUUGUUAUACUGUUUGAUCCUACAUGGAACCCAGCAAACGAUCUUCAAGCUAUUGACAGAGCUUACAGGAUUGGCCAAUACAAACCUGUUAAAGUGUUCAGAUUGAUAUCCUUGGGAACUGUGGAGGAGAUGAUGUACUUGCGACAAGUUUAUAAACAGCAACUUCACUGUGCGGUGGUUGGAAGUGAAAAUGCCAAGCGGUAUUUUGAGGCAGUGCAAGGAUCAAAGGAACAUCAAGGAGAGCUUUUUGGAAUCCAUAACCUUUUCAAACUUAGGACUCAUGGGUCCUGUCUUACCAAAGACAUCCUGGAGAGGGAAGGACGGGUAGAAGCAGGAGUCAUAACAGCAACUAUGUGGCUAAAGGAAGAGACUUCUCCAUGCAGCUCAGAAAAGUAUGAACAGCCAGAUUGUAGAGAAGAUAGAGAUUCCCAAAGCAUUCAGGCACAAUUAAUAAGAGAAGAAAUAGACUUUUCUGAUGACUUUAGUGAUGAUGAUAUUCUGGAAACUUCCAUGAAAAAAUGCCACAGAAGGAAGCCUUGCAAUGCAAAUAAUUCAGUGGAAACCAAGGGGCAGCUUUCCUUAAUGCAGUGUGGAUUCUCUAAGUUGUUGCAGAGAGAAGCUGAAGCUACCAAAGAAGAGGAUAAUAAUUACAACUCUCAUCAUUCCAGUUCUGAUGAUCAGACUUUAAGAGCAAAUGUAAAUAGCAAACACACUGAUUCUCAGGAAUGUCAGAGCCAUGUGUCUGUUUUGGAGCAUGGGAACACUGAUCACUCACCAGAUAGAACUGAUAAACAAAAUUUGUGUAGUAUAGACUGGCUUGUUUUAACAGGCUCUGAGGAGGAAGGGGACAUAGAAAGUGAUGAUCAAGGCAUUUCAAAGCACAGUGAUACAGUCAUGAAUACUGAAAACAGUUCUGAAGGUGAUGAUGAUGUCAUCUUUCCUACCCAAGUUUCAGCGUGGCAGCAACCACUGCUUACUAAGAAAGUUGAAUUAUGCAGAUCAACAUCUGAAAAUUGUGAAGAGUUAGCAAAAGAAGAAGAUGGGUUUGUAUUUAAGGAAGACAGUAGGCAAUUUGGACUCCAUAAUAGUGAGUCAAAUUUCAGCAAAACUGCGUCUUUUGAGGACAUCAAGAACCUCACAAGAGAAUUGAAAGGAGCAAGUGACAUAAGUGAUGAGUCCGAUGAUAUUGAGAUUUCCCAUAAUUCUAAAUCAAGAAAGUCAAGAACUUUCAGCUUUCCAAAAUGGAAAGAAAAUACCUAUAGCAAUGGACAAGGUAAUGUCUCAAAACCUCAGCUACAAGCAAAGAAGCCCAAUAGAAAAGAAAAGGAAAGCGAUUCUCAGAAUAUAGAUGAAUUUUCAUCCUCUGAAGAUAACUUGCCAGUUGAGAAAACACAUGCCAGAAAGCAAAGCUAUAAGUGUAAAAAACAGAGAGGCAGAGUUUGGUUUGGGUCUAAAAUACUCUAUCCUGUUCAAGAUACCUCUGUUGCACAAAUGAAGACUGGCAGUUACACUAUGUGUAGAACUUCUGCAAGUAAAACUGCAUUUGAACAUCAGGAGCAGAAAGUGGAAUCAAUGGACAGAUAUUUAGAUGGUGUUCCAGAAGUGGCAUAUAUUCAUUCAAAUCAGAAUGUAGUUGGAUCUAGCAAGGCUGAGAAUCACUUGAGCCGGUGGGCUGUACGAGAUGUAUUUGAGUUGAAGCAGUUUUCCCAGCUCCCUGCUAAUGUAGCAGUCUGUAGUGCCAAGUCAACUGCAUGUUUUCAACUUAAGUUUACUUAAAGUUUUACUGAAAAGAAAUGUACAAAGACAGCCAUUCAAUUGAGGAUUAAUCACUAUGGCAACAGAAAUGUGGUGACUGAAAAGGGGGAGGAUGUAUUCUCCCCUCAGUUUCCUGCCAGCUGUCAUAUUCAACCUCUGCGGGAUGAAUUCAGGCCAAAAUAUAGACUGUGACCAGCUCUAAGAAACUAUAUCUGUAUUUUUAUAAAUUCGUACAGGAAUUGCACUAUAAAAGAAGACUUAAUCCUCUGAAUUGGAUGACAGACAUUUGGCACUCUUGCCAGUGUUUGACAGAGAAAUAACGGGAUGCUUUGUAGUAAAACCUGGAUUAAUGGUAAACCCCUCUUUAUGUUAUUGCAAUGUGGUGUAAAUGAGAGAACUAAGCAUGCUGUCAGCCUAGGAAAAAAUGUGCCCUUUGUAUCUCCAAUGCAGAUUUAAGUGCUGUUGAGAAUACUGUAAAUACUAAAGUUGUGUCAUUAAGAACUCCUCUUUAUCUUAUUUGUAUUACAUUGACAUUUUGUAGAUUAUUUAGACAAAGACUUCUACCAGUUAUAGUAACUCUGAUUGCAGUGUGUUUGCACAGCUUUCAAAUUCAACAAGUUAAGAUAGUUGUUUACAAAGAGUAGGAUUUUGAGAGAUAACAUGCCAUUAUCCUUGCUCUUCUAGGAUGGGGAGUGUUAUUCAGCUUUAUAAUAAUUGUUCCCAAAUGAUUGGCCUGUAAUGCUGUUUUAUUGAGUUUACUGUUUCAGUUUACAGAGGAAUUAACCAUUUCAGUAUGUCUUUCAGUUGUUUUAUUUUAUUUUUUCUUAAAUGCAGUGAGUUCAUAUAUGGCAUGGAAUCAUAGAAUGGUUUGGGUUGGAAAGGACCUGAAGAUUAUCUAGCUCCAACCCUACCACCAUGGGCAGGAACACCUCACACUAAACCGUGUCACCCAAGGCUCUGUCCAACUGAGCCUUGAACACUGCCAUGGAUGGAGCAUUCACAACUUCUUUGAGCAGCCUGUUCCAGGGCCGCACUACCCUCAUCCUGUGAAGCGUGUAGUUGAAUUUUCAUAUGAUGUAUGUGCAUGGCUUUUGGCUCUGCUAUUGUUUGAUGGAGGAAUGAGGGCGUGAGUGAAGGCAGGUGCAAGCCCACUUCUGCUGGAGUAAGCCAUUACCUUAGUUUUGAAUUCUGAGGCAGGCUGAUUAUGUCCUCUCAUUCUCAACAGUAGUAACUAUGUUGGUUCAUGGUCAAGUUUUUGGUGCAAGAAAGUGAUACGGCUUAUAGGAAUUCUUUUUGUUAAAGAGUCAACAAAUUAAAUAAAACUGCUCCUAGUGAGAAAUUCUUGCUUUGUUAUGUGAUUGGAGAAAAAACAGAAGUAGAUGUGAAAUAGAACACAGUCUAUCUGUUGACUUAGUAGUUGCUUCUCCACUACCAGGCAAAAGGUUAGAGUUCAUGGAAUGUCCUUCGACUCAGUUUGUACAAGCAGAAAAGCUAGAUAAGACAACCUGGCAAAAAAUGACUACACAUUACUCUGAUAAAAUUUACUUUUAUCAGCAGGUAUAGCUGGUCUCUGGGUAUUGGCAAGAGUAUUUUGGAGAGGUAAUUCAGAUCCAGAAUAAGCCAAACAGUUUUUGUAGCUAUUGGCCUGCUGUUAUACUAUCAAAUAUUAGAUACAUUUGUAGUCAUAGCCAACAUCCUGAGUAUUUGUUUAAUUCAGAAAGCUUAGGUAUAAAUGUGAUUGUCCUACAGUAGUCUAAAAGUUUUAAGCAGUUUAGCUUCAUUUUCUACUGCAAUUGAGGUAUUGACAAUUAGCUAUACAAUUACUUCUAAUACUUAUUUUGCAAUCUUGUUUUGUUAGAACAGUAGACAAAUUCAGUCUUAGACUGCUUUUCAAUUAAGAAAGUUAAAUUCAGAGGGAAAAUCAAUGUCCACGUCAGAAAUAGUCUUAAAAUAUUGUAAGAUUCAGGCUUAUUUCAUACAACGAAAUGUAUAACUAGCCAUAACCAUCUGAAGCUGUAAUAGCGUGUUUAGUAGUGUGUCCUCUGUAAUCAGAAAGGUAAUUCUGGUUCAUUUAAGAGUCAGGUGAAAGUGGAAAAAAAACUUACUAUUUGAUAACUUUUUUUAUUGUUUUCACCAUGUGACCUCAUUUUUAGAAAAACUACAUUUAAGUUUUAUGUGGACAGUUAUACUUCAUCUUCUUUGGCAUGCAGAAUAAUUUAGGAAGAAAUUCUUGUUUGACAUGUGUACAUGCAUAAAAAAGAAGGAAACCAGAUCAGGAAGAAACAAUCAGAAAUGGAAACAAGCAAACUGCAGUGAAAAGUAUCCUGGAUAUCCUGGCAGUAGUGGUUUCAUGCAUACCUGAAGACAAAAGUGUGUUAACCCUGUUUCAGCUGUGAAUGGGGAAGUCAAUGAGGGUUAUUGCUGACUGGAAGUCAGUAUCUGGUAAGAUACUUAGACUGGCGAUACUUUGGAUAGUCAGGCAGUAAAAGCAUUUUAUGAUUCUAAAACAGAAAGAUGCUCAGACACAGUGCAACUGUGGCUGAGGAAUCAUUAUGUAAGCAUGUGUUCAACUUCAUAUUCAGGCUUUUGAAGGAAGUUUGUUAUCCUCUAAGUCUGGUGAUUUGAGGAAUUACCACAAAUGUGACACAGGUUAAAAAAACCAAGUAUUUCCGAAUCUCUGUUUCUCUUUUUUCUCUACUCAUCUUGCUCCUAGCCUCUGCUUACUUACUCUCCCAUACGUUUUCAUCAUGCUGUAUGUAAAAUGAUGAACAUUGUUUUCGUUUGCCUUGCUUGAAGGGGAUAAAGAGAGGAAAAAGGAAGUCAUAGGCUGAAGGUGGCCAGUCAUCUCAGUAAUGUCUGAGGGUGCUUAUACAUGGAUUAUCAUUCAUUGUUCCAGAGUGUAGAGCUACUUCUUUAUGCCUGUAGGAAAAACAGAUACUGAAGUUUUGUACUUCAAAGAUAGGCAAAUUUGGGUUUGGCAGGUGUAUCCUAUUUUUAAAAUUAUGCUGCAGGAGUCAGAUUGUUACACAGAGCUAACAGAUCCAGGAGUUGUUGCAGUUCAAGUUGCAAUCUCUAAGUAAAAAUUACUCCUGCAUUCUGGCACUUAAAUUUUUGCUUGGUGCUCAGCUGCGUGUCUUCCUUCUGCUUGAAGACCAUUACCCUUAACUGUGAACUGAUGUGGAAUUCUAAAUGUGCAGAUGCUACCCUUUUUGCUGGACUCUUGAUUACAGCCUGUAUUCAAUAUGCAGUUCAAAGAAAUGGAUGCUCAUAAUUGGUAUCCAAAGCCUGAUAUAUACUUUUAAGAAUAAACUACAUAAACAAUGAAAGAAGAAUGAAUGAAGGAAGGAAAAGAUCUGCUGUGGUAGGAAGAUAGAACAUGUUCAUGUUGGAAACCCAUAGACUAAAUGGAACAUGAAAACUGAAAACAAAUGCUUGCUUUGAAGUGCUUUUUCAUGUAUGGUAGGAGUCCCUAGGUUUUCUGAAUAGAUUAAAAACUAUUUUCUGCACAGCUAUGUAAUAAUCCCACUUCUUUCCCAUUGCAGUAUAUGGAAAGCCUCUUCAGAGUAAGUGCAGUAAAUGAGGGGGUGAUGGGAUAAGAAAACAAGUGUAAAUCAGGAAGGAAUGACUGAGUUUCUACAUGCUGUUUUCCGUGGUUUACAACAGCACUUCACAAUUUCACUUUACUGUAUGUAUUCAUGAACUUUAUUUCUUUACAUUAACAGGUAUGUUUUCUAUAGUGUCACCUUUUCUCAUGUAAUUUUUUGUUGCCUUCUACUAAGCAGCUUGCAUGGGUGGCCUUUCUCUUAUAUGUAUGCACUUGAAAAUGAAUUGUUUCUUUUGAACUUUGUGUGAAGGUUUUUCCCAUGAAAGUGUAGAAAGGUGACUAAAGUAGUAAAACUGUUACAUUCAGUAAUUCAAUCAAAAUAUUUUAUCUUUGUCAAAUUAUUUUGCUGCACCUUUUUCCCCCACUGAAGUACUGUAUUGAGAAAGGAGAAAAUAUGAAGAAUACCAAAAUGUGUAAUGGUGUUAAUAAUAUAUAGAUAGAUAUAUGACUGGUAAGUAGGUGGACAACUAUAAGUGAAACUUUCCCACUUUCAACUGUGGAAAUUUUGUAACGUGCACCACAAAUGUUGUCUUUAAUGUAGUUAAAUAUUUAGCAGAGACUGUUUUCAUGAUUGCUGUCAAUUUUUUUGUAAAAAUUAUUUUAAAUUACAUAUAGCAGACAACUGUAUGUAAAAGUAAGCGAAAGUAUUUCUUUAGCUUUGUGUCAUGUAUUUUAGAAUGCUAAUCAGAAGGUGCGCUAGGUGCAGCACAUGAAAAAGUUUUAACAGUAUGUAUGUGUGUGAUGGUAUAAUAUUUGCAAGAAUACCUUUGGAUUUCGAUACUAUGAUUUUACUUAUCAUUCAGAGUAGCUUGGCCAUAAUAAUGUCUUUGAAACUUUUUAAGCAUAUUUAUAUUUAGAGUGAGAAAAACAUGCUAUUACUUAUUCUGGUACUGGAUGGAAUUUUAAUUCCAGGAGAAAGAAUUUGUGUCAGUAAUUGUGCCCUUUCAGUUUCUUGACUGAUUUUCUUCUCCUGUGUUAAAUUUGUUAAUUUUCUUUUUUUUUUGG
Molecule: RNA transcript, 8406 nt
Organism: Pezoporus flaviventris
Lineage: Eukaryota; Metazoa; Chordata; Aves; Psittaciformes; Psittacidae
Gene: ERCC6L2
Gene name: ERCC excision repair 6 like 2
Exons: 19
Source: RefSeq, a predicted model, not a curated record